GACGAACGCUGGCGGCGUGCUUAACACAUGCAAGUCGAACGGCGAUGCUCCAGCUUGCUGGAGUGGAUCAGUGGCGAACGGGUGAGUAACACGUGAGCAACCUGCCCCAGACUUUGGAAUAAGCGCUGGAAACGGCGCCUAAUACAGGAUACGAAACUGGCUCGCAUGGGCAUGGUUUGGAAAGUUUUUCGUGUUGGGAUGGGCUCGCGGCCUAUCAGCUUGUUGGUGAGGUAAUGGCUCACCAAGGCGACGACGGGUCGCCGGCCUGAGAGGGCGACCGGCCACCCUGGGACUGAGACACGGCCCAGACUCCUACGGGAGGCAGCAGUGGGGAAUAUUGCACAAUGGGCGCAAGCCUGAUGCGGCGACGCCGCGUGAGGGAUGACGGCCUUCGGGUUGUAAACCUCUUUCGGCAGGGAAGAAGCGAAAGUGACGGUACCUGCAGAAGAAGCACCGGCUAACUACGUG
Molecule: ribosomal RNA, 468 nt
Filed under: uncultured bacterium
Lineage: Bacteria
Description: partial 16S ribosomal RNA
Rfam family: Bacterial small subunit ribosomal RNA
Source: RNAcentral